RNAcentral lists this ribosomal RNA (253 nucleotides) under uncultured bacterium. RNAcentral describes it as "partial 16S ribosomal RNA". It matches the Rfam family "Bacterial small subunit ribosomal RNA", at positions 524 to 776 of the family's 1533-position model. The record is from RNAcentral.
UACGGAGGGUGCAAGCGUUAUCCGGAUUCACUGGGUUUAAAGGGUGCGUAGGUGGCUAUAUAAGUCAGUGGUGAAAGCUCGCGGCUCAACCGUGAAAUUGCCAUUGAAACUGCAUAGCUUGAGUACAGUUGAAGUGGGCGGAAUACAUCAUGUAGCGGUGAAAUGCUUAGAUAUGAUGUAGAACACCGAUUGCGAAGGCAGCUCACUAAGCUGUAACUGACACUGAGGCACGAAAGCGUGGGGAGCGAACAGG